This 220-nucleotide unclassified non-coding RNA is filed under the name Hevea brasiliensis (rubber tree). Lineage: Eukaryota; Viridiplantae; Streptophyta; Magnoliopsida; Malpighiales; Euphorbiaceae. The record is from RNAcentral.
CUUGACAGUCUUUCCUCUGAUUGGGUACUUUAGGAUUAUAUUUGCUACAUAAGCUAGAGUCUGAACUAUUAGAAUAAUUAUGCCGAACUUCUAGAGUAGAUUGGAGUCAGAUUGACGUAUUUUACAAAUAUCACUUUUAACUAGUUAUAGCAACACAUACGUCAUUCCAAAAGUGCGUUUCUCUUUACUUUUAGGAGUACGAAUAAAAGUUUGCUUGAGG